Molecule: ribosomal RNA, 626 nt
Filed under: uncultured Clostridium sp.
Lineage: Bacteria; Bacillati; Bacillota; Clostridia; Eubacteriales; Clostridiaceae
Description: bacterial SSU rRNA
Rfam family: Bacterial small subunit ribosomal RNA
Source: RNAcentral
GAUGAACGCUGGCGGCGUGCCUAACACAUGCAAGUCGAGCGAUCUUCUUCGGAAGAGAGCGGCGGACGGGUGAGUAACGCGUGGGUAACCUGCCUCAUACACAUGGAUAACAUACCGAAAGGUAUGCUAAUACAAGAUGAUAUAAGAGAUUCGCAUGGGUUUCUUAUCAAAGCUCCGGCGGUAUGAGAUGGACCCGCGUCUGAUUAGCUAGUUGGUAAGGUAACGGCUUACCAAGGCGACGAUCAGUAGCCGACCUGAGAGGGUGAUCGGCCACAUUGGAACUGAGACACGGUCCAAACUCCUACGGGAGGCAGCAGUGGGGAAUAUUGCACAAUGGGCGAAAGCCUGAUGCAGCAACGCCGCGUGAGCGAUGAAGGCCUUCGGGUCGUAAAGCUCUGUCCUCAAGGAAGAUAAUGACGGUACUUGAGGAGGAAGCCCCGGCUAACUACGUGCCAGCAGCCGCGGUAAUACGUAGGGGGCUAGCGUUAUCCGGAUUUACUGGGCGUAAAGGGUGCGUAGGUGGUUUCUUAAGUCAGGAGUGAAAGGCUACGGCUCAACCGUAGUAAGCUCUUGAAACUGGGAAACUUGAGUGCAGGAGAGGAAAGUGGAAUUCCUAGUGUAGCGGU